UUUCUACGUAGAUAUUCAGCAAGAAGGCGAGAGCAACCAAGCUGGUCAAGGCCUAGGUCUAUUCCAUUGGCCCAUCUCCAGCAUCUACAAUUUGUUAGGAAUCAAGAAAAUAUAUGAGAUGAAGGUGCAGCAUGCAAAAGCAGCUGAAAUUCUAAACUUAGUUUGUGAGAAUCUGAGACAUUUGAAUAAAGCAAAGA
Long non-coding RNA from Neltuma alba, 197 nucleotides. RefSeq lists it as uncharacterized. Lineage: Eukaryota; Viridiplantae; Streptophyta; Magnoliopsida; Fabales; Fabaceae. The record is from RefSeq and is a predicted model, not a curated record. The transcript has 3 exons.